CCUACGGGUGGCUGCAGUGAGGAAUAUUGGUCAAUGGUCGGGAGACUGAACCAGCCAAGCCGCGUGAGGGAGGAAGGUACAGGGUAUCUUAACCCUCUUUUGUCAGGGAACAAAGACUGGGACGCGUCCCCGGAUGAGUGUACCUGAAGAAAAAGCAUCGGCUAACUCCGUGCCAGCAGCCGCGGUAAUACGGAGGAUGCGGGCGUUAUCCGGUUUUAUUGGGUUGAAAGGGUGAGCAGGCGGUAUGAUAAGUCAGCGGUCAAAGCCCGGGGCUCAACCCCGGCCCGCAGUUGAAACUGGCAGUCUUGAGUGGGAGAGAGGUAGGCGGAAUGCGCGGUGUAGCGGUGAAAUGCAUAGAUAUCGCGCAGAACUCCGAUUGCGAAGGCAGCAUGCCGGCUCGACACUGACGCUGAGGCACGAAAGCGUGGGUAUCGAACAGGAUUAGAUACCCCAGUAGUC
Molecule: ribosomal RNA, 459 nt
Filed under: uncultured bacterium
Lineage: Bacteria
Description: partial 16S ribosomal RNA
Rfam family: Bacterial small subunit ribosomal RNA
Source: RNAcentral